GUUGAACGCUGGCGGCGUGCUUAACACAUGCAAGUCGAGCGAACAGACGAGGUUCUUGCUCCUCUGACGUUAGCGACGGACGGGUGAUUAAUACGUGGAUAACCUACCUAUGAGACUGGGAUCACUUCGGGAAACUUGAUCUAAUACCGGAUAAUAUAUUGAACCGCAUGGUUCAAUAGUGAAAGACGGUUUUGCUGUCUCUUAUAGAUAUAUGCUCGUCUGAUUAGCUAGGUGGUAAGGUAACGGCCUACCAAGGCAACGAUGCGUCGCCGACCUGAGAGGCUGGUCGGCGGCACGGGGAGUGAGACACGGCCCAGAGUCCUACGGGAGGCAGCAGUGGGGAAUGGGAGGCAAUGGGCGAAAGCCUGACACAGUAAUGGGGAGUGAGAGAUGAAGGCCUUCGGGGUGUAAAGCACUGUUGGCGGGAACAAAAAGAAGUGUGCCAAGAAGAAGAGACGAUGACGGUACCUGCAGAAUAAGCGCCGGCUAACUACGUG
RNAcentral lists this ribosomal RNA (497 nucleotides) under uncultured bacterium. RNAcentral's name for it is "partial 16S ribosomal RNA". It matches the Rfam family "Bacterial small subunit ribosomal RNA", at positions 28 to 507 of the family's 1533-position model. The record is from RNAcentral.